CCGGAGAAUGUUAUCACGGGAGACACACGGCGGGUGCUAACGUCCGUCGUGAAGAGGGAAACAACCCAGACCGCCAGCUAAGGUCCCAAAGUCAUGGUUAAGUGGGAAACGAUGUGGGAAGGCCCAGACAGCCAGGAUGUUGGCUUAGAAGCAGCCAUCAUUUAAAGAAAGCGUAAUAGCUCACUGGUCGAGUCGGCCUGCGCGGAAGAUGUAACGGGGCUAAACCAUGCACCGAAGCUGCGGCAGCGACGCUUAUGCGUUGUUGGGUAGGGGAGCGUUCUGUAAGCCUGCGAAGGUGUGCUGUGAGGCAUGCUGGAGGUAUCAGAAGUGCGAAUGCUGACAUAAGUAACGAUAAAGCGGGUGAAAAGCCCGCUCGCCGGAAGACCAAGGGUUCCUGUCCAACGUUAAUCGGGGCAGGGUGAGUCGACCCCUAAGGCGAGGCCGAAAGGCGUAGUCGAUGGGAAACAGGUUAAUAUUCCUGUACUUGGUGUUACUGCGAAGGGGGGACGGAGAAGGCUAUGUUGGCCGGGCGACGGUUGUCCCGGUUUAAGCGUGUAGGCUGGUUUUCCAGGCAAAUCCGGAAAAUCAAGGCUGAGGCGUGAUGACGAGGCACUACGGUGCUGAAGCAACAAAUGCCCUGCUUCCAGGAAAAGCCUCUAAGCAUCAGGUAACAUCAAAUCGUACCCCAAACCGACACAGGUGGUCAGGUAGAGAAUACCAAGGCGCUUGAGAGAACUCGGGUGAAGGAACUAGGCAAAAUGGUGCCGUAACUUCGGGAGAAGGCACGCUGAUAUGUAGGUGAAGUCCCUUGCGGAUGGAGCUGAAAUCAGUCGAAGAUACCAGCUGGCUGCAACUGUUUAUUAAAAACACAGCACUGUGCAAACACGAAAGUGGACGUAUACGGUGUGACGCCUGCCCGGUGCCGGAAGGUUAAUUGAUGGGGUCAGCGCAAGCGAAGCUCUUGAUCGAAGCCCCGGUAAACGGCGGCCGUAACUAUAACGGUCCUAAGGUAGCGAAAUUCCUUGUCGGGUAAGUUCCGACCUGCACGAAUGGCGUAAUGAUGGCCAGGCUGUCUCCACCCGAGACUCAGUGAAAUUGAACUCGCUGUGAAGAUGCAGUGUACCCGCGGCAAGACGGAAAGACCCCGUGAACCUUUACUAUAGCUUGACACUGAACAUUGAGCCUUGAUGUGUAGGAUAGGUGGGAGGCUUUGAAGUGUGGACGCCAGUCUGCAUGGAGCCGGCCUUGAAAUACCACCCUUUAAUGUUUGAUGUUCUAACGUGGACCCGUGAUCCGGGUUGCGGACAGUGUCUGGUGGGUAGUUUGACUGGGGCGGUCUCCUCCUAAAGAGUAACGGAGGAGCACGAAGGUUGGCUAAUCCUGGUCGGACAUCAGGAGGUUAGUGCAAUGGCAUAAGCCAGCUUGACUGCGAGCGUGACGGCGCGAGCAGGUGCGAAAGCAGGUCAUAGUGAUCCGGUGGUUCUGAAUGGAAGGGCCAUCGCUCAACGGAUAAAAGGUACUCCGGGGAUAACAGGCUGAUACCGCCCAAGAGUUCAUAUCGACGGCGGUGUUUGGCACCUCGAUGUCGGCUCAUCACAUCCUGGGGCUGAAGUAGGUCCCAAGGGUAUGGCUGUUCGCCAUUUAAAGUGGUACGCGAGCUGGGUUUAGAACGUCGUGAGACAGUUCGGUCCCUAUCUGCCGUGGGCGCUGGAGAACUGAGGGGGGCUGCUCCUAGUACGAGAGGACCGGAGUGGACGCAUCACUGGUGUUCGGGUUGUCAUGC
This 1783-nucleotide ribosomal RNA is filed under the name Shigella sonnei. RNAcentral describes it as "partial 23S ribosomal RNA". It matches the Rfam family "Bacterial large subunit ribosomal RNA", at positions 962 to 2729 of the family's 2925-position model. The record is from RNAcentral. Lineage: Bacteria; Pseudomonadati; Pseudomonadota; Gammaproteobacteria; Enterobacterales; Enterobacteriaceae.